This 334-nucleotide long non-coding RNA is filed under the name Arachis ipaensis. RNAcentral describes it as "long non-coding RNA (AIPA_LNC001707)". The record is from RNAcentral. Lineage: Eukaryota; Viridiplantae; Streptophyta; Magnoliopsida; Fabales; Fabaceae.
GGGCACUUCCGCAUUAGCACUCGGCACAAAGGCCCAUUCAAUAUAAUUCUCAACUUUUAUUUCAUUCCUUGUUCCUCAUUUUUCUUUCAUUCACUAUAUCUCUCAAUAUCAUUGUCUUUAACUUUAACCUUUUUUAGGGGCAACUUACAUUCUUUUUCAUUUCCUAAGUUUGUCUAAUCUAAAACCAUGUUGGUAAGGUAACUCUAGAGAUCUUAAUCUUUAAUUUAAGUUAGGUUUUACUGAAUUUGGAUUAGAAUUGAAUUUUAUACAAGCUUUAAAAUUCUGCUGUUGCAUUUACAAAAAUUCGGAAAAACAGACAGCAGCCAUGUUUUUU